This 611-nucleotide ribosomal RNA is filed under the name Pleurotus ostreatus (oyster mushroom). Its description in RNAcentral is "eukaryotic LSU rRNA". The stretch from base 247 to 400 matches the Rfam family "5.8S ribosomal RNA". The record is from RNAcentral. Lineage: Eukaryota; Fungi; Basidiomycota; Agaricomycetes; Agaricales; Pleurotaceae.
GCGGAGGACAUUAAUGAAUUCACUAUGGAGUUGUUGCUGGCCUCUAGGGGCAUGUGCACGCUUCACUAGUCUUUCAACCACCUGUGAACUUUUGAUAGAUCUGUGAAGUCGUCUUUCAAGUCGUCAGACUUGGUUUGCUGGGAUUUAAACGUCUCGGUGUGACAACGCAGUCUAUUUACUUAACACACCCCAAAUGUAUGUCUACGAAUGUCAUUUAAUGGGCCUUGUGCCUAUAAACCAUAAUACAACUUUCAACAACGGAUCUCUUGGCUCUCGCAUCGAUGAAGAACGCAGCGAAAUGCGAUAAGUAAUGUGAAUUGCAGAAUUCAGUGAAUCAUCGAAUCUUUGAACGCACCUUGCGCCCCUUGGUAUUCCGAGGGGCAUGCCUGUUUGAGUGUCAUUAAAUUCUCAAACUCACUUUGGUUUUUUCCAAUUGUGAUGUUUGGAUUGUUGGGGGCUGCUGGCCUUGACAGGUCGGCUCCUCUUAAAUGCAUUAGCAGGACUUCUCAUUGCCUCUGCGCAUGAUGUGAUAAUUAUCACUCAUCAAUAGCACGCAUGAAUAGAGUCCAGCUCUCUAAUCGUCCGCAAGGACAAUUUGACAAUUUGACCUC